Cygnus olor (mute swan) is the source of this 832-nucleotide long non-coding RNA. RefSeq lists it as uncharacterized. The record is from RefSeq and is a predicted model, not a curated record. The transcript has 3 exons. NCBI's taxonomy places the organism in Eukaryota, Metazoa, Chordata, Aves, Anseriformes, Anatidae.
CUCUCAGCCCAGCUGCAGCCUAAUGGAGUCCGGGCCGGGACGUCACAGGAAAUUCCUAUACUGCCCCCUACACACACUUCCGCCGCCUGGGGCUGGGGGUGGGGUGCGGGCGCUAUAGGGGCAGGGGGGUACGGCCGCCUCCCGGGCCGCUGCUGGCCGGCGGCGGGGUGGGGGGUCGGGGGCGCGGCUGGAGACGUCCGGCCCGGCCCGGGGGUACCGCCUGGCACCGCCUGGUGCACGUAGGGCCCGGGGCUGGGAGGUGUGAAGGUGUGUGCCGGGGGCGCCUCGCUGGGAGCUGGUCGUCCCCAGGGUGUGGGGGGGGGGGGCUUACGGAAAUUUCCUGAAGCAAUCAGGAGGGGUUUUGGGGUUGUUUUCGUUUGGUUGGUUUUAAAAAGGAGAAAUACCCGGCGACGUAGCGGCCUCUCGUUGCCAAGGUUGGUCACUGGUAGGGCCCGGACCCGGGCAUGGCUUCUGCAGUCGUGAUGUGUGUUAGCACCAAAGAGGGAGAACAUGGUGUUUCUGUACGGGAUCUGACAUUUUACGGAAGAAAAUCCUUCUGCAUCUCCCUAGCUUCUGUGGCCAGUAGCAGAGUGCAGAAAAGGAGACUAGGAGACUGCCCAUCCUGGUGGACAAAGGAAGUUCAGCACGGGAAUUUCAACACCUACAGGGCUGCAUUAUCAGUGUACCCAGCAGGUAUAUGCUCUCUGUGUGUCACUGCACCUCCUAUUUAAUAGCACUUCUUCCGAAUGCCACAUCUGAGAGUGGAGCAUGUCCUGCUGUAUCCACACGGCGCUGAGAGGCAUGAUGGGGAUUAGUUCCAGCUGGAAGGGGG